Molecule: ribosomal RNA, 445 nt
Filed under: uncultured bacterium
Lineage: Bacteria
Description: partial 16S ribosomal RNA
Rfam family: Bacterial small subunit ribosomal RNA
Source: RNAcentral
CGAACGCUGGCGGCAGGCCUAAUACAUGCAAGUCGAACGGCUCUUCGGAGCAGUGGCGGACGGGUGAGCAACGCGUGGGAAUGUGCCCUUAGGUACGGAACAACACAGGGAAACUUGUGCUAAUACCGUAUGUGCCCUUCGGGGGAAAGAUUUAUCGCCUUUGGAGCAGCCCGCGUUGGAUUAGGUAGUUGGUGAGGUAAAGGCUCACCAAGCCGACGAUCCAUAGCAGGUCUGAGAGGAUGACCAGCCACACUGGGACUGAGACACGGCCCAGACUCCUACGGGAGGCAGCAGUAGGGAAUCUUGCGCAAUGGGCGAAAGCCUGACGCAGCCAUGCCGCGUGUAUGAUGAAGGUCUUAGGAUUGUAAAAUACUUUCACCGGGGAAGAUAAUGACGGUACCCGGAGAAGAAGCCCCGGCUAACUUCGUGCCAGCCGCCGCGGUAA